CAUAGCGACUAUCGUGGCAUAUCAAUAAGCGGAGGAAAAGAAACUAACUAGGAUUCCCUCAGUAACGGCGAGUGAAGCGGGAAGAGCUCAAAUUUGAAAUCUUCAAGGUUCUACCUUGACGAAUUGUAGUUUAUAGAAGUGUUUUCUGUAGUGGAGUUUGGUAAAAGUUCCUUGGAAUAGGACAUCAUAGAGGGUGAGAAUCCCGUAUUUGGUCAUUCUUCCUAGCGUUGUGAUACACUUUCAACGAGUCGGAUUGUUUGGGAAUGCAGUCCAAAAUGGGUGGUAAAUUUCAUCUAAAGCUAAAUAUUGGCGAGAGACCGAUAGCGAACAAGUACCGUGAGGGAAAGAUGAAAAGAACUUUGAAAAGAGAGUUAAGCAGUACGUGAAAUUGUCAAAAGGGAAGCGUUUGACACCAGUGUUGUUUUUCCGAAAAUCAAUUACGAAUGUUUUAUUUUUGAGGAAGUUAUGACUUCAUCGGCUUGCUUCUCUCUUUAUGAAACUUUCUUAAUGCACUUUUCGGUUAACAAGUCAACAUCAAUUUCUUUUGUUGUAAAAGGGUCAUGAGGAAGGUGGCUUUCUUUUCGGAGAAAGUGUUUAUAGCCUUGUGAUCUCUGCAAUCGGAGAGACUGAGGUCUGCAGCGUAGACUCUUCGGGGUUAGAUACGUUUGUGCUAAGCUAUAGCUUUUAUAGACAACUUGUUGACUAUAGUUUAGUCAUUGUAGCUUACUCGCUUAAGUGCUAUUUUACCUACGCUUAGGAUGUUGACGAGACUGUCGAUCUC
Molecule: ribosomal RNA, 781 nt
Filed under: uncultured Neocallimastigales
Lineage: Eukaryota; Fungi; Neocallimastigomycota; Neocallimastigomycetes; Neocallimastigales
Description: partial large subunit ribosomal RNA
Rfam family: Eukaryotic large subunit ribosomal RNA
Source: RNAcentral